UCCUCCGAUUCCAGACCUACCACCAGGCUACCCUCUGAUACUUGGCUCCCCAUUAGAAAAUGCAUGGAUCUUCUGAUGUGAAUAUUCUGGUCUGUUUUGCAAAUUAAAUUGGCUUUGAAAAUAGCACUUUCUUUUUGAGAAUUACUAAAUGGACCCCUGGUUUAUGCAUCAGGUAUAGUGAUCUUUGUUAAUGUGGGUCUGAGAUAUGUCUCUAAUCUGAGAGAUGUAGUCAUUGUCAAGUGCCAUAAACAUCAAAGUUCUGAGCCUGUCAGGAUGCUGGACCCUGGUAAUGUACCAGUCUGUGAAAAUGAAUCCAGGUGACCAGCAGACCUUUCCUGGGACCACAUUCUUAGCUCCACUGCAGGCCUUUUUUUCUCCAGAGCCAGAUUAUAAGCUUCUUAAGAACACAGACCCACUGGUUAGGAUUCUGGUCUUUCACUGCUGUGGCCUGGGUUGGAUCCCUGUUGGGGGAACUGAGAUCCUGCAAGCAGCAAGCACGGCAAAGAAAAAAAGAGCACAGACAUGGCUUCUCCUUUUUCAUCUCCCACCUCUGCCUAGCACAGGGCUGGGCAGUUUAAGAAACUUCCAAAAGAGAUUGAGAAUAUCAAUGAAGAAACUAAUGAAUUCAGUGCAUGUGGGGGAAAUCUGGACACAAGGUCACUGUGGGCAUAUGUGGACAGAGGGACCACCGUGUGAGGAUACAAUGAGAAGGUGGCCACUUGUAAGACAAGGAGAGAGGCCUCAGGAGAAACCAGACCCUACAGAUACCUUCAUCUUGGACUUCUAGCUUCCAGAAGUGCAUGUGAGAUCUUAGCUCCCCAACUAGGGAUCAAACCUGUACCCUCCUGCAUUGGA
Long non-coding RNA from Bubalus bubalis (water buffalo), 855 nucleotides. RefSeq lists it as uncharacterized. The transcript is spliced from 3 exons. The record is from RefSeq and is a predicted model, not a curated record. Lineage: Eukaryota; Metazoa; Chordata; Mammalia; Artiodactyla; Bovidae.